Musa acuminata AAA Group (dessert banana) is the source of this 2297-nucleotide RNA transcript. It is a transcript of the gene named protein RETICULATA-RELATED 1, chloroplastic-like, with no coding region annotated. NCBI's taxonomy places the organism in Eukaryota, Viridiplantae, Streptophyta, Magnoliopsida, Zingiberales, Musaceae. The record is from RefSeq and is a predicted model, not a curated record. The transcript has 9 exons.
AAGCGCCGCCAAGGGUUCCGUAUUCCACUUCUCCCCGCUCGAGACAGCACGAGACGGCGAUGGCGUUCUCCUCCUCCUUCGCCCCCUCGGGAGCCUUCUACUACGACCCCUCCUCCCUUCCCGCAUCUCUCGGCACCCCCCGCAUCGGCUCCGUCGAGGUCAGGGCUUUAGCGUUCCGAUCCAACCCCAACCCCGCUCUCGCUUCUUCCCCGAAAGAAGCCGUCUUUUUGGCCGCUUUUUUAGCUCGAGGCGAUGGGGGUUUCGCCCAGACGAGGAAAUGGAGUUGCUUUGCGGGCCUUGAUGGUGAUAAUGGUGCCGGCGAUGACGGAGGAUCCGGCGAUCGAGCUGGCGGCGGAGAUGGCGGAGACGAAGGCGACGGUGAGGACGGUAGCGACGAGGCCGAGUUCGGCCCGGUGAUGAAGUUCGAGGAGGUGAUUCGGGAGACGGAGGCGCGUGGCGCGAGCCUGCCACCUGAUCUGUUGGAGGCGGGCAAGAGCAUUGGGAUUCGCAGGGUUCUUCUCUCGAGAUAUUUGGAUUUGCAGGGGUCAUGGUGGCCGAUUGGUGUUGCCAUCAGGCAUUGCUCGUUGCUUCGGAAUCGGAUGCUUGCCGACCCAUCGUUCCUUUUUAAAGUGGCAACGGAGAUAGUUAUUGAUUCUUGUUGUGCGACGUUCGCGGAGGUUCAAAAGAGGGGAAAGGAUUUUUGGACGGAGUUUGAAUUGUACGCUGCAGAUCUUCUGGUCGGGAUAGUUGUCGACAUUGCUCUAGUGGGUUUAUUGGCUCCCUAUGUAAGAAUUGGACGGCCAUCUGUGUCAGCUUCUACUGGGUUUUGGGGAAGCCUCAAGCGUGGUUUUGAAGCUUUGCCUAGUAGUGUUUUUGAAGCUGAAAGACCAGGCUGCAAAUUUACUAUUCGGCAACGGAUUGGGACAUACUUUUACAAGGGAGUUCUAUAUGGAUCAGUUGGAUUUGUUUGUGGUAUUGUAGGCCAAGGCAUUGCCAACCUAAUAAUGACUGCUAAGCGGAGUGUAAGGAAAUCUGAUGAAGAUAUACCUGUUCCACCACUUGUUAAAAGUGCUGUUCUUUGGGGUGUCUUUCUAGCAGUAUCUUCUAAUACUCGCUAUCAGAUUAUUAAUGGCCUAGAGUGUGUGGUUGAGGCAUCACCAUUUGCCAAACGCAUCCCACCUGUUGCUAUGGCUUUCACAGUUGGAGUUCGUUUUGCCAACAACAUCUAUGGGGGUAUGCAGUUUGUGGAUUGGGCUCGAUGGAGUGGCGUUCAAUGAGGGUAUAGAAAGACCCUAUUAUUGGAAAGCCUGCAGUGUUAUUACUAAAGCGAUAUUAUCACAUUGCUUUUGUUGAUGAUGUUUUCCGGUGCCAUGCAGCAAUUGGCAUCAGGUCACAGGGUAGUUCAACAAAGAGAAGUUUGUUAUCUGAGUGAGGGAACUGAGAAAAUUGCUUCUUUAUCAUCUUCUUCUUGCAUUUCAAUCAUCGGAUGGCUGAUGUCCCAUUAAUAUUAUCUUAUUAAUCACACAGACACCUCAUCCAUGAAGAACACGAGGCUAGAUUGGUUUUUUAUCAUCUGAUUGCAGAUAUAACUAGGACUCUCCCCCUGCUAGAAGUCUAAUUGCAGUGUCUAUGAAUCUUUAGGCUGUGUUCCCAUGCCUGAACUCAAGUAACUCCGAUUCCAUAUGUUCUUAUUUUAGACUGUGUUCCUCUAUGAUCAUUUGCUGAUUUAUUAUCUUCAAUCAUAUCUUGGUUGUCUCAGUUCACUGGUAUAAGGAGCAAAAUCUCACCAUGGGACAAAUGACUGAUUCACUCUCAGACCUUACUCUCAACUUUUGCUCCUAACUAUUUUUAGAUUUUGCAGGAUUUAUCUGACUCUUUUGACAGAUUCUCCCCUCCUUGUGGUGAUCCUCCUUGAUGAGUUUUCAAUGUGAAUCAAAUUCACUGCAAAUAUAGCAUCUAUGUUGAUGCACAGAGGCACACAGCUUUGUCCUACCUAGCAGCACAAUGAAUAGAAACUAUUGAUUGGUUACCAUUGACAUGUUUACAAAGUAACCUUCAAGAAGUGCCUUCCCCUCUUGGCAAGUUGGAAGAUUUAUGUGCAUAUGAUGGAUUCCAAUGCUGCAUAUGGUACUAAGUGCACAAAUGCACUCAGAACUUGUACAUACCUCUUUGCUAAGCAGCUGAUUCUUUCCUCCUUCACCUGCUGGUCUAAACAUAUGCUGUUCAUACCAUCCUUUCAUCAUGUUUACUUGGACAGUCUAAUGCAAAUGGACUAUCAAGCUUGAUGAAUUCUUUCA